This 449-nucleotide ribosomal RNA is filed under the name uncultured bacterium. Its description in RNAcentral is "partial 16S ribosomal RNA". It matches the Rfam family "Bacterial small subunit ribosomal RNA", at positions 354 to 796 of the family's 1533-position model. The record is from RNAcentral.
GUGGGGAAUAUUCCGCAAUGGACGAAAGUCUGACGGAGCGACGCCGCGUGAGUGAUGAAGGCCUUCGGGUCGUAAAGCUCUGUCAUCGGGGACGAACGGCCUCAGCAGGUAAUGGCUGGGGAUUGACGGUACCCGAGAAGGAAGCCACGGCUAACUACGUGCCAGCAGCCGCGGUAAUACGUAGGUGGCAAGCGUUGUCCGGAAUUAUUGGGCGUAAAGCGCGCGCAGGUGGGAUCUUAAGUCCAUUUUGAAAGUUCGGAGCUCAACUCCGUGAUGGGAUGGAAACUGGGAUUCUUGAGUACCGGAGAGGAAAGCGGAAUUCCCCGUGUAGCGGUGAAAUGCGUAGAUAUGGGGAGGAACACCAGUGGCGAAGGCGGCUUUCUGGACGGUGUCUGACACUGAGGCGCGAAAGCCAGGGGAGCGAACGGGAUUAGAUACCCCAGUAGUCC